GACGAACCGUGCGAACGUUGUUCGGAAUCACUGGGCUUAAAGGGCGCGUAGGCGGGUCAGCAAGUCCGGGGUGAAAUCUUUCGGCUCAACCGGAAAAGUGCCUUGGAUACUGCUGGUCUGGAGGGAGGUAGGGGUUGCUGGAACUUCUGGUGGAGCGGUGAAAUGCGUUGAUAUCAGAAGGAACGCCGGUGGCGAAAGCGAGCAACUGGACCUCUUCUGACGCUGAGGCGCGAAAGCCAGGGGAGCAAACGGG
RNAcentral lists this ribosomal RNA (253 nucleotides) under uncultured bacterium. RNAcentral describes it as "partial 16S ribosomal RNA". It matches the Rfam family "Bacterial small subunit ribosomal RNA", at positions 524 to 776 of the family's 1533-position model. The record is from RNAcentral.